RNAcentral lists this long non-coding RNA (386 nucleotides) under Phaseolus vulgaris (common bean). RNAcentral's name for it is "long non-coding RNA (PVUL_LNC003737)". The record is from RNAcentral. Lineage: Eukaryota; Viridiplantae; Streptophyta; Magnoliopsida; Fabales; Fabaceae.
AAACAGACGGAGGAAAGAGUACUUCCAAUUUUGCACAUCCCAUUAUUUCUAAUAUUUCAAGAUUUGAGAAGGUAAAAGAAUUAUUUGAAGCUUCUAUUUCACAUCCAAUAAUCUGCUUCAAUUCCAUACAUUCUUUUAUGAUUAGGCUUUUCAACUUUUGUAAGUUUCUUAAAACAGACAAAGGAAAGAUUACUUCCAAUUUUUCACAUCCCAUUAUUUCUAAUUUUUCAAGAUUUGAGAAGGUAAAAUAAUUAUUUGAAGCUUCUAUUUCACAUCCAAUAAUCUGCUUCAAUUCCAUGCAUUCUUUUAUGAAUAGGCUUUUCAACUUUUGUAAGCUUCUUAAAACAAACGGAGGAAAAAUUACUUCCAAUUUUGCACAUCCCAUU